Humulus lupulus (European hop) is the source of this 1075-nucleotide long non-coding RNA. RefSeq lists it as uncharacterized. Lineage: Eukaryota; Viridiplantae; Streptophyta; Magnoliopsida; Rosales; Cannabaceae. The transcript has 3 exons. The record is from RefSeq and is a predicted model, not a curated record.
AAGGAUCCUAUUUGCUGAAGCAGGAAAGGACUUCAUAGAUUUCCUCUUCUCUCUUCUAUCCAUGCCAGUUGGUACUGUAAUAAGGCUUAUGUCCACCAAGGUCAUGGUGGGUACCUUAGGCAAACUCUACCAAAGCUUAGAAAAUCUAAGCGAAACUUACAUGCGGUCUAAUGUGAACAAGGAUACCCUUCUCAAACCCCAGUCUUUUGUCCAAGGUGGCUCUGCGACUCUUUUUGCCUUGACCGAUAAUGACACCUUGAGGUGCAUACACGGAUCCUUGUAUUGCUAUAUGAAUUGAGGGCAACUUAAUUUGCUUAUUGGUAUAGCACUUUACAGCAUCUUUUUCUUAGUUAUAAAUCUGAUUUUUUAAACAUACUGCUGCUUGAAGUAUAUUUUAAGGAAUAUUUUAUUCAUUAUUGCAGCAGUUUCUCUGGCUCCUUUCCUUGUUGCACUUGUUCAUAGUUGUUAUGAAUGAAUGGUUUAAAAUAUUUAUUAUACUUACAACUGCAUGACAAGACACUGCAGUAGUCUAUUACUCUAAUAUUAGAAAGUAAUUAGUUGGUGUAAAGCUUUUACUGCAUCCUAGAAUUUUAAACACCAGAUGAUUUAUCUGCUAAUUUCUGUCCUUGUAGGGAAGGUUCUUGAGCUUUAUUUUGAGAUGUUGUCCAUAUGUAUAAUAACUAAGGAAAAAUUGAAUGUUUUGUCAAUCAAGUGUUAUACUUUUAAAGGGUCGAUGUUUGCAUUAAGCUAUCAUCUAUGGUGUACAUGAAUUUAUUGGUUAAAUAUAAAUUCUUUUGUUAGCUUGUCAGAAAUUCAGAAUGCAUGUGGCAUAAUGGAUGUUCCUAUAGAAAUGCUUAGCGCAAUUGAUCCAAAGAAUAAAGAGGGCCUUAGACAAGAGGUUAUUGCUGAUUUGGUGGAACAGUACCGAACAUAUAAGCAGAGAGUGGUACACCUUGUUAACUCCACCUUGGAAGGCUUCAAACUUCUUUGCUCCAUAGGUGUGUGCUUUUGUUCUUACUUGGACUAUGUGACAAUUGGAAGAUGUUUCGGAUAGAAAAGCAAAGGUUUGAAUUCA